RNAcentral lists this ribosomal RNA (462 nucleotides) under uncultured bacterium. RNAcentral describes it as "partial 16S ribosomal RNA". It matches the Rfam family "Bacterial small subunit ribosomal RNA", at positions 28 to 507 of the family's 1533-position model. The record is from RNAcentral.
GACGAACGCUGGCGGCGUGCUUAACACAUGCAAGUCGAGCGGAAAGGCCCUUCGGGGUACUCGAGCGGCGAACGGGUGAGUAACACGUGAGUAACCUGCCCCAGACUUUGGGAUAACCCUCGGAAACGGGGGCUAAUACCGGAUACGACACAGCUUCGCAUGGGGUCUGUGUGGAAAGUUUUUCGGUUUGGGAUGGGCUCGCGGCCUAUCAGCUUGUUGGUAGGGUGAUGGCCUACCAAGGCGACGACGGGUAGCCGGCCUGAGAGGGCGACCGGCCACACUGGGACUGAGACACGGCCCAGACUCCUACGGGAGGCAGCAGUGGGGAAUAUUGCACAAUGGGCGGAAGCCUGAUGCAGCGACGCCGCGUGAGGGAUGACGGCCUUCGGGUUGUAAACCUCUUUCAGCAGGGACGAAGCGUAAGUGACGGUACCUGCAGAAGAAGCGCCGGCCAACUACGUG